Long non-coding RNA from Micropterus dolomieu (smallmouth bass), 542 nucleotides. RefSeq lists it as uncharacterized. The record is from RefSeq and is a predicted model, not a curated record. NCBI's taxonomy places the organism in Eukaryota, Metazoa, Chordata, Actinopteri, Centrarchiformes, Centrarchidae. The transcript is spliced from 4 exons.
AUAAGGUGCGUGGUAACUAAGGUGCAGUUAAAAUUGGGGGGUAGUUGCGACACAGGCACCUCACAGCUGGCAGGCAGCGGAGCCUCCCAACGUGACAAAGUCAUUUAUUUGGGAGAUGGAAUCAGAGCAGCUCCCACCUCUAACAUGCUGUAGCUCUGGAGACGUAUAAAAAGAGGCGCUGAGAAGAGAGGGCAGAGAAGAAGAACGGAACGAGUGGAAGUUGGAGCUUUGCAGGGUAGAAAGAGGGAAUGAUGAAAGGAGAAUUCUGUACCUGUGGGAGGUCAAUAUCGACACAACCCGAACUCAGAAAAUGACUGGCCUGAGGAGCAAAGUAGUUGUUCAGGGAGCAGCCAGAUUGAGUACAUGGCAGCAGUGUAACAGUUAUACUGUUCCACGCCUGAAGGCUCUUGGUCACCGCCAUCGCUCCUCCAAUGAUCCCUGCCGAAGGUAUUGUUCUGUCACUAUGCUGCUGGCCAAAACUGGCAUCAACCAGCUGCGUGAAGGGAAAACCACAGUGCAGGAUGGUUUAUCUGAAAAUAGCA